This is a long non-coding RNA of Mirounga angustirostris (Northern elephant seal), 8954 nucleotides long. RefSeq lists it as uncharacterized. The record is from RefSeq and is a predicted model, not a curated record. NCBI's taxonomy places the organism in Eukaryota, Metazoa, Chordata, Mammalia, Carnivora, Phocidae. The transcript has 10 exons.
AGAGUCCCUGCAGGGAGGUGUACGGCCGGACUGAGGGCCUCGCAGACCUACGGCGGCUGCGCUACCAGAGCACCCGCUUCUGAGUCAUUCUCUGGGCCCCGGCUGCUCCCCGGGGCGGGAGGGAGGGUGACUGGCCCGGCGUCCUUGCGGGGCCCGUCUCCCCGCGCCCCUCCCGCACUCCUGCCCCUCACCCCUGGCAGGACGGCCCACUUCCGGACCUGGCACUUUCCCCAGGGGGCAGGUCUGGUCACCGCAGCCAGAUCUUCCAGGGCAAGGCUGGGGCGGGUGGGCAACACGAUUUGGAAAGCCCUUUUCUUCUGCUGCUCCUCUCCCAACACCCUGGGGUGGGGCUCAGGUCCCAGAGAGAAUUCCCAUCCCGCAUGAUUCCUCAGCCCAAAUCGCACAUCCACCAGGACUCUCGCCCCCCCCAGGGUCCUGCUCCCGGUGUCUGCUCUUUCUGGGGCCACUGCAGGGGCUCUGCCUGUCUGUGAACCUGCCUCCCCCGGAUUCGAGGUCUGGGGAGAUGGGAGCCACUCAGUCCCCUCCUGACCCCUUCUAGACUCAUGGCUUCCCCUUCCCCCAUCCAAAGCCUGGAGGCCACAGUGACCUUGCCAAGAAACAUCCAACUCCUGAGAUUUUGCAGGACACGGGGCACUGCUUGUGGGGCACACAGCCUGGGGCUCUGGGAGGUUGUUAUAAGGGGGUCUACAGAAAUGCUUCAUGGAGACAUGUAGCUUUGGGGGCUGUGAACCUCCAGGACUGGAGCCAGCUUCUCGGGUUCAGAACCUGUGUGCACGAGAGAGGGAGUGCGUGUGCAUGCAGGCCAGCGUGUGAGCGCACAUACGUGAGAGCACUGUGUGCACGAAUGCGCGUGUGGCUGUGCAGGCCUGUGCACGAGCACACGUGCGAACGCAUGUGCGAGAGUGCGCUUGUGUGAGUGUAGGUGUGGGAGCGCACUGGUCUGUUCUGCUUAGUUGCCAGGCCAAUGACCGCCCCUCUCUGCAACCUGUCUUACCUUUGUGAUGGUCUGUGGCUGCUUCCCUGCGUGGGUCCAGCCUGUCCCUUUGUAAAUAAAUGUCCUAAAGCUCCUCGCCCCUUGCCUGGGGCUGCCAGCUUGGCUCUUCUUCCUGGUCUCUCCCCCCACCUGCAAAGUUCUCCCCACCUCCUCAUUCUACUGUGUACAUUCUAGCAAAAGAGAAAUUGCGGGUCUAGGAGCAGAGCCAACCUUCUGGGGCCUCCCAUGUCCCUCUCCCAACACCCCUCCCCCCAUGACAAGGCAACAGGGCCACACAUGCUGCAUAUUCAGCCCGCCCAGGCUCCGGAGCUCUCUAAGGCUGCGUAAACAAGGCUUCCUUGGAUGUUCAAAGGAGCUGGCAACCUGCAGGGGAAAAGGCAAACUCCUUUCUUGAAAGGGAAGAGAAGCACCCAGCCAAUGAGGCCCUGCCUGCCCAGGCCCGGGGCGGCCAGUGGGAAGGAAGCAGCUCUGUCCUGGUGCCCCGAUGAGGGACAGAAACCGGCUGCCUGCCUCAGCUGGCAGGAGGUGCUAAAAGGGCAUCUGAAAGACCAGCCACUGCUGGUAGCCUUCUAGAACCAAAGAGGGGCUUGGUUUUCUUUUGGACAAGAGAGCAGCCUUUGGGAGGGAGAUGCCUACCCAGGGAGCUGCAGAGGGCAGCCCGGUCCCUGAGCCCGACUGGGUGGGUCUGCGUCCAAGGAUCCCCCCCAGACGGCGGCGACCCAGUGAGCUCCAUGGCAGCCCCCUGACCCCUGGGCCUGGCCCAUGCCCUCCCUGGCCCGCUGUGUGGCCGGGCCUUAUGUCUGACCAGUGCCUCUCCUGUGGGAUGGCUGGGCACAGGUGAUGCAGUGGCCUUUGGUUUUAUUAUUUCUUUUUCCAAUAAAAGGACUUGCCCAGCUUGAGGCUCUGUGCUGCUUCUCUCCCUUAUGGUGGUGGGCUGCCAGCUCUGUGCCCCAGGCCUCCAGUGAGGCGAGGCUCAGCUGCCCACCCGCCUCAUGCUAAGGAGGUAGGGCUGACUAUGUCCCUGAAGGAGUGGUGAACCUGACAUGGGCAGGACCCACCCUGUCUUCUUGGAGCUUGUAGUCUAGUCGGGAGGCUACAUUCCAGAUCCUCUAAUCUGGAGCCUUUAUGGGGCAUUUGCAGCCUCGGGUGGAGGGAAACGCUUGACUGAAAGCCAGGGCAAAAGUAAGUAAUGAAUUGAUUAAAUACCCAUUUUUUCAGCUCGUAACCUGGUUGGGCCCUGUUAGGGGUUGGAUCACAGAAGUCACUCAGUUUUAAAGACUAGAAAAGCAUGUGAAUGUUGAAAUCUAGCAGGGUUGUGUCUUGCAUUUUAUAAAACCAAGUAACCUUUAUUGAGCACCUAUUGUGUGCCAGAUGCUUUGGUAAAACCAUAUGCUAGAGCUGGGAGGGGAUUUAAAGAUCAUCUAAAUGAGGCAGAAUGGAGGCCCAGAGCAGUCACACGACUUGCCCCAGGUCACACAGCUGGUUGACGAUUGUGCCAAAUUUAGAGCCGACCUCUCCUGACCCAGUGCUCACUCUGACACCAUGGGGAUGGCAUCCCGAUGGAAGAUGCCCUAUGCUGCAGGGCGGCCAGGGUCACACACUCAGGUCUGUGGACGAAGAGAGGGUCUCAUCAGACUGGGGGGACAAUGGCGCUGGCCUCAGGGUGGGGGCUUUGGGGAGAUCCCCUCUGGGUGGUGCUGAAUGGGAGUCUGGGUGGCUUCCACGCUUGGACUUGCUGCUCUGGAGGGGCAGCUGGGCCUUUGCCUGAACCAUGGGGAGGCCUGGACCCACUGCCUGUGUGCAAACCUGGGGUGUGUGUGGGUGGUCACAAUGGAGGUUGUUCUUUAACAUGAGGGUGGGUUCAUUCUGUCUGUCCUGUAUGCAAGGUUAUUAGUCGUAAUAUUAAACCAUAGUAGCUAACAUUUACCACUUGGUAUGUGCCAGGCACUAGGCUAAGACCCUACAUAAUCAUUCAAUCCUCACGACAACCCUAUGGUGUGGACUAUUAUUCCCAUUUUACAGAUGAGGACACUGAGGCCCACAGAAGUUAAAUAACUUGCCCAAAGUUACACAACUAGGAAGUGGCAGAUCUUGGCUUUGAAUCUAGGCAGUCUGACUCCAAGCUGUGUGGAAGAUGAUUAAUCCAGCUUCAGGGACCCUGUCAGAGCUCGAGGUCCUCAGCCAUCCUAGGGAAGGAUUUGACAGAUUCCCAGGUGCCUGUCAGGGGAGUGGGAAAUGCAGCCCACCAGGAGGGCUGGCAGGAAGAGACAGGCAGCAAGGACAGGAAUAUACAGAUGUGAAAUCCGCUGGCCCCUGGGGCAACGUGACCCGAGAAGCAGCUUAGGCAGAUGCAGACAGGCCUGUAAAUCUUGAGCCAGGGGACCUGAAAAAAUGCAGUGAAGGUGCCUGUCAGGGGAGUGAGAAAUGCAGCCCACCAGGAGGGCUGGCAGGAAGAGACAGGCAGCAAGGACAGGAGUAUACAGAUGUGAAAUCCGCUGGCCCCUGGGGCAACGUGACCCGAGAAGCAGCUUAGGCAGAUGCAGACAGCAGGCUUCAGGACCCAGGCGUGGGGGCCAGUUGCCAGUCUGGAUCACAGCUCUUGCCACUUCACCAGCUAUGGGACCCUGGGGAGCUUGUUCUUUCUGAGCCUUGCUUCUUGGUGAGAAAACAGAGAAACUGCCAAACCAUCUUGCAGAGUUGCUGUACCAUGUUGCAUUCCCACCAACAACGUAUGGGAGAGCGAGUUUCUCUGCAUCCUCGCCGGCACGUGGUGGUAUUUUUUUUUUUUAGCUGUUCUGAUAGACAGGAACCAAUUUUCAGCCCCUCGCGGGUGAUCGCACCACCACCGCGGAGAACGCUCCGCUUCUCUAAGGCUUCUAGCCAAGGGAAGGCACCAGCGGUCUGGUGAGGCUUUAAUCACCAAGCUGCCUCCAAGAGGCCAGAAAACAGCUGGUUUGGACAAAUCUGGUACAGGCCAAUGUUUGGACCAGGCCCCAGUCUCGGACACGGGAAGGAUUAAAUACUCCGACCCCAAGGGCUGCCGGGGUGGCUGGUGUCCGCCACGGCUGUCCCCAGGGCUGGAGGUACCGUGCGCUGGCAGCUGCCAGGGCUGCGAGUUCUGGGUCACUGAGCAUGCUUCGGGAGGCACUUCCAGGAGCCCGCUGUCGGGCACAACGGCUCGUCGCCCGCCCUGCCCCCGGCCCUGACUCACCUAGGCCGAAGUGCGCCACGGGCUCCAUCUCACACAGAGAGGUGAGGAGGGCAGAUGUCGUUAUCCCUUCUGUGCAUGUGCAGAACAAGACCCACAAGAUGAAGCAACUCUUCCAAGACCACAAGUGAGGCAAUAGCAGGACUGGGGCUUGGGACUCCUGAUCAGUGCUCUUUCUCUGACACCAGGCUGAAUGCCAAGAGGGGUGGGGUCAGACUGCCGGACCCUCAGCCUCUCCUUUCCAUCCCCUUCUGGUGCCAGAGAAGCUACCGCCAACGGGUUUCCAGAGCCCUGCAUGGAUCAUCAGCUCCUCUGCACCCGCCUGGGGCUCCCAGAGGCUCACCCAGCCCUAGAGUGUUAGCCUUCAAUGCGGCAGGGAAGAAGGGGUCCCGCGCUGUGGAGCUGGCUACCCCAUCCCUCUUGCCCUCAUCCUGCGCAUGGGCAGAGCUGAGACAGAGGAGUGCGGGCCUGAGCCCCCAGGUGCCCUCACCUGUGCCCCGGCCCUCAGGCUCCAAGGCAUCGCCAGGAUUGAGCUCCUCGAUGAGGGGGUCGCCAUGUUCCCUGCGGAUGACACUGGAGGAGAGGAGACAGGUCGUUCCCAGAUGAGUAACAUGCUGGCGAGGCCCCCAUGGGCCCCCUGAACCCAGAGGCCCACUUGCUCCAGUCUCUGUCCUCCAAGCAGCCCCGGACCCCACUGUGCAUCGGCCACCACCUGGAUGCCUACGGAAGCCACUCUGCUCAUGGAACCUGCCUACACCCUGCCUGUCCCCUUCUUGGGUUUUAAUUUAUGUUGGUAAAUAUUGAUUUUUCUUUCUCUAAUGGAUGAAUUAUAGACAGCCUGGGGAAGGGCAGUUGAUGGAUGGAGAAGGGGCAGGGACACAGCUACCUUCAGCUGCCCUUCCCUUUCCUUCAAGUGGUCCUGGGCUUCUGAGUUCUGGGUGUACCCAGGAUUCAAACCACUCAGAUGCCGCCUCCUCCAAGCCCUCCCUGAUCGUCGGGCUGCAAGCAGUGCUUUACUGCUCAGCCUUUAUCACUUUCUGCCUUGUGUUACAGCUCUGAAUGAAUGCAUCUUAUCUCCCCAGUUAGACUGGGAGCUCUUUGCACGCCGGGACCACGUGUUACUCAUUCUCGCAUUUCCCACAGCACCUAGCACAGCGCGCGGCUCACUGGAAGCUCCGAGCUCAUGUCCGUGGGAGGCGUGGAUGAAGUCCAGCAGCAGAAAGGGCAAAAAGGGGUCCCUUUGGGUUGCAGGAGCUCUGUCUAUUUUAAGCUCUGAAUCACGGUAAUCUUUGCUUCAGAAAAGCCCACUGUGAAUGUCCUGCUCUUUCUCCACACUGAGCUGAAUGCUGCUGAUGAUGGUGAGCUUUCCUCCGAUUUUUCUCAUUCAUUAGAUUCUCAGAGCCUUGGGUGCUCUGGCCUGGGUGUGAGGAGCAAUGCUGGGGGAGACAGGGGGCUGGAAGGGAUCUCACUCUCCCCGCGACACUGCAGGCAGCUCUUGCCUGCCCAAGUCACAGAGAGUCACCAGCGGGCUGAGAUGUGGCCAGUGACUUCAGGAGGGGCCAGGGGUCCCCAGAGCUGGAACCUGUGGUGGCCAGAGGGCAGAGUGCGGCCGCAAGUGCGGGGGCUCUGCAGCGCUGAGCCCGGCCCCGGGAGAACGCUCUGUGGGCCUGGGGCCUCGGUGCUGAGCAGACCCGUGUGCGUGCUCGGGGCGGAGGGCGGCGCGCCUGGGUGCACUUGGGCGCGUACACACCUGCUAGAGGUGUGUGUGCCUCAGCCUGCCAACAACCGCAGUCCCUUUGACCCCUGGUGUCCCACAGACUCUGCCGCAGCUGGGCAGAGGCAUCCCUUGGUUCAGGUGACAGUGCAAUUAAGGGUUCCUAAGGAUAAAGCCCAGCAGUUCCACUGCAUCGAUGUACUGCCAUACUGCCGAACGAAUUCUUCCGCAGUGACUUCUGUGUGCCGUCACCGCCUGGGGGCCUGUGGCUGUGCUUCGCAUCCGGAGGGACGGGGCUCAGGGCCCAUGACAACAGGGAGUCUCAGGCAGAGCUCCGAAGGCCAACAGGGAGAGGGGCUGAGGGGAGGGCGGAGCUGGGCAAGCUCACCCCGGCUUCCUGGAGGAAGGGCCAACUAAGCUGAGACCCAAACGAUGAGUAUGAGUCACUCAGGUGAAGAGGGAGGGGCAAGGGACAGAGGGGGUGGGCAGCCUGAGGUUCCAGGCCUGGUACAGCCCAGAACCGAACAAAGCUGGUGGUGUCUGGAGCUCAGCUGUAAACGGGGAAAUGGAGAGUGGCCAGGCUGGGGACAAAGCGGGAGGUGUGGGAUGAGUCCAGGAGAAGGCAGUGGGGGGCUUCCGAAAGGUUUCAAGUGGACGAGGGGUGUGGCCAGAUUUGCAUUUUCAAACAGCUUGCUCUGCAGGACUAGCCGGGGACACCUGCUGAAGGCAGCUGCAGGAAUCCCCUUCAGAGCCAGGGACAAGGAUGGAGGAGCGGCAUAGGGGUGAGGAGGGGAGAAGAGAUCGGAGGCAUGUUUCAGUGUCAGGGGUGUGACCGUCCCUAUCCCGGCUGGCCUGGGAGAGUCCCUGUUUGCCUGCUGUCCCGCCACCAUUAACAGGACUAAGCAUCUGGUUUGGGGACGAAUUCCCUGGUUACCCUACUCUUCACUGAAAGAUCGCAGGCUCAAGCACACAGAGGCUCUGAGUCUCCAGUACCUCCUGCAAGGAGCCUGCCAAGUUCCAUUCAGCAACAGGGACAGGCUGGGGCCAACCAUGCAGAGUGGCCAGCGAGGCAGCGGCCCCUGCUGUAGCCCCUCACAGUCGGGGCUGUGUGCUCGGGACGCAGCCAUCUGCCACUGGGACUUGGCUCGCACUGCUGCUGAGUGGAGGCAAAGACCCUAACCCGUGGGGCCACUACGGGGUGACCCUGUCCUCGUCCAUGGCAGCCCCGGGCCAGCCCGCCCUUGGGGUGGCCAGAGGGAGGCUGGGUGGUGUGACAGAGCCAGGUGGGCAGGCGGACGGGGGAGGUGCCUGGGUUCUCGGGCCACAGCGACCAGAGCACUAGGCUCCCUCGUGCUCAGGGGCCCUGGCGAGUGACACUUUAUUAGCCAGAGAAGGAAAGCAGUGUCUCUGUUAACGAGCAAUUGAUCUUCCGCAAUUAAUCUGGAAGUUGUGAAUAAGCUUUUUGCAAGGCACCUAAUUAGUAUAUCUAGUGCCUUCGGGGGGUGAUUACAUCCAGUCAGGAUUGAUGCUUUGUUAAUAAUUAUAUUUUAAAACAUGCUUAGUCACAGCUCUUGCCUUUUAUUAAUAGUUGGGCCCCCCUGGGGUAAGGGAUGGGGGCCCCGGGGAGCCGAGCAGGUGAUCGGGCCCAUUUCCUGAAUCCAAGGCCCCCUGCUCUACCUGCCUUCUCUCCCCACUGACUCCUGAGGCCCAGGAGCAUGUUUUAGGCCAGGAAAAGGGUUGUCUUAGGCCACAUGGAUCCUGAGGUUCCCCAACAGCAGUUCUCAAACUUUAGUGUGAUAAGAAACACCUGAUGCCCAGCGCACUUGUUAAAAAUAGAGAUUCCUGGGCCUCACCCCUGGAGAUUCUGAUUUAGGAGAUCUGGGUGGGCCCUGGGAUUCUGUACUUUAAGUAAGUACUUCGGGUGAUUCUGAUGCCAAUGGACCCCUCUUAGAGAAGUAUUGCCUUUGAACAUCCAACCUUUCCUCCCCAGAUGCAGAUGCUUGCAUAUUCCUUCCAUUCUGUCACUCCCUUUUCCUUGUCUACCAUUAAUUGUCUCAUCCAGCAUUUCCCAAGGGAUGUUUUGCAGAGCACCAGUCCCAAGGGGAAAAUCUCUGAAAGAGGUGUCCUGUGGUUAAAUCUAUUUGGAAUACUCCAUCUACCUUUCAGAAAGUAAAAACGCUCAUGGUCAUGUUAAAGGCCCUGAGAAGUCCUGCAGCCAGUAAACCUGCCUGUCUUUGCUUACCCCAGGUGCACCUAAACAAAUUUGACUCUGUAACUCCUUUUUGUGGUAGUAUGGAUUUCUCUCCUGCAGAGCUUGGCUUCUGGGCACACUUUGGGCCAUGUCCCUCUGCCCAUUCCCCCCACAACAGCAGGAGGCCGGCUUCCUGCCCAGGAUCUGCCCUCCUCUCCACAGCCUCUUGCUCAAUCCCUCCUUCCCUCCUGUCUAUUCCUUCAUCAGGGGACCUUCCUGCACUUCAGCCCUGGGAACACCCCUCUGAGUCCUACACCUUCCUCCCUGACUCCCAGCCCGCGACAGCGAGAGGCCACUGGCCAGGCUGAAGCACCUACCGGAAGAGGCGGUUGGCUGAGGAGCUGCGGUGGGCGAAGUUGUUGAAGAAGAUCUCCAGCUCCUGGUCAUUGUCAAAGUCGGCGGCGAUGACUGUGCGGACCGGGGACGGCAUGGAGAACUUGGGCGAGGCGAUGUCCUGGCGGGGGAGAUGGUGCAGGGACCUGCAGUGGCUGCACCAAGACCACACAGACCUCGGGCUGCUUGGAGGAGGACAAGGAGGUGAGAGGGACAGUCCCAUUCACACCAGCGGAGCACCUGGCUGUUCCCUGGUCAGCGUCACACACAGCCCGCUCACCAGGCACUCGAGGCAGGGCAGACAUUAACAUUCCCAUUCUGCAGGUGAGGUGAUCAGGUCCUGGGGGAGGGAGGGGAAUCGCGCAUGCUCAUAGCUAACGAUGGGCUGGUAGCCGGGGCUUUUGACUGAAGAUGCUAUGUCCUUCCUCCUCUG